This is a long non-coding RNA of Salvia splendens (bonfire salvia), 1414 nucleotides long. RefSeq lists it as uncharacterized. NCBI's taxonomy places the organism in Eukaryota, Viridiplantae, Streptophyta, Magnoliopsida, Lamiales, Lamiaceae. The record is from RefSeq and is a predicted model, not a curated record. The transcript has 5 exons.
AUCACAAACAACGCCAACCAACUCUACCCUCUCCCAUGCGGUAUCUGCGACGGUGAACAGACCUGGCCAUGUUUAUUGUUUGAACGACGAAUGGCAGCCACGAAAGAGUUCCAUCCAUGAUCACAUCUCGCCCUUCGUUGAGUGCAGUUACUAGCAGGGAUGAUGCUGCAUCUGUAGAUGAUUGGUGCACCUAGAAAAAGUACAAGUGAAGCUGAAAAAUCAUCAUCGUAUUGUCUUGCAAAGGAAGGACAAUGAGAAGUGGGAGAGAUAAAUACCAGUUCAGAAGUGUGAAGCAAGUCAUGGUGCCCCCUAGAGCUCAAGGCUCUGUAGAUGACAUCCGACUCUUUAAAGGCAUCUGCCUCGAUGACAACUGCAUUCCCUGAUGCUCCAGCCCAGAAUGGUCUAUGGUGCAGAUAAACAAACUGUGUUAUUGAAUCACCUCACUACGUACAAUUAGCUCAAAAUAUUUGUUUUGGAAUGUCUCGUUUCUAACUUUCUAUUAUGUACAGCUACACGAGAUUCGCUUACUCUUUGAGAAUGUCCUUGAGCACAGUACUCUUCCCGGCCCCCAUCCCACCACCCAUGAGGAGGAGCACUGGACUUCUGUCGCUAUGAGCCAUUGGUACCAUGACAUUCGUGCACUGUGAAUCGUCGUUUGUCACGAGUCCAAUAGCUUUCAUCUCCUCCACUAAUGUGUUUUUCUAGGAAAUACAUGUUGGAUUGAAUCGAAGCCUGAGAUCGACAUGCCUGGCUGAGCAUAAACGACGUAUGUUUCCAGUGGAACGCAAAGUAGCUGAGGAUGCAUCUUUCGAAUUCUUCCACCAGUUUGAUGAAGAGAGAAUCACAUUCAGGAUCAUUUGCAAAAAACGCGUACAUGUCUUCUUCGCAUCCCUCAGCUUUUUUAAUGUAUUCGGAUGCCAACUUACACAAAUCAAACGAGAUCGAAGAUCCAAAGACGGAGAGGAAGGGGCAGAGAUUUCUUAUUACCUACAUAGUGAGAGAACUUCUCAAUGCUCAAAACCUGGUCGGCAGCGGAGAUUCUCUUCCGAGGUAUGAUCUUCCUGUCGAGUACUUUCCUGAUGCGGUAAUGCAGCGCAGCUGCUAUGAUCAGCCCCACGGAGGAGGCCACAAGGAUCUGCGUAUACGUUGCUUUAGCGCUGCUGUUCAUCUCAUCUGCCGUAGAAUCAAACAUAAUAAUCUAUGAUGGGAAACUAGUUUUUUUGUAGAUCAGUUUUUGCGUAUGUUUUGCCACUAUGCAUCUCUUGCCUAUGGAAGGACAAGAAUGUGUAUUUUUCCUCUGUUUCUUUCUCUUUCUCACUGUGUGUCUGUGUGUGUGUGUGUUUUUCUGUUUAUUUUGUUCCUAUGAAUUUGGAGAUGGAUAUUCAUGAAUGUCUGAAUGUUUCAACUCCUUGUA